GUCUACGGCCAUACCACCCUGAACGCGCCCAAUCUCGUCUGAUCUCGGAAGCUAAGCAGGGUUGGGCCUGGUUAGUACUUGGAUGGGAGAACCCCAACUUCUUCCUUAAUGCUUCUGGAGUCAUCGAGG
Ribosomal RNA from Vulpes vulpes (red fox), 129 nucleotides. Lineage: Eukaryota; Metazoa; Chordata; Mammalia; Carnivora; Canidae. The record is from Ensembl.